RNAcentral lists this ribosomal RNA (432 nucleotides) under uncultured bacterium. RNAcentral describes it as "partial 16S ribosomal RNA". It matches the Rfam family "Bacterial small subunit ribosomal RNA", at positions 29 to 507 of the family's 1533-position model. The record is from RNAcentral.
ACGGACGCUGGCGGCAUGCCUAACACAUGCAAGUCGCACGAGACCUUCGGGUCUAGUGGCGCACGGGUGCGUAACGCGUGGGAACCUGCCCUUAGGUUCGGAAUAACUCCCCGAAAGGGGUGCUAAUACCGGAUAAUGUCUUCGGACCAAAGAUUUAUCGCCUUUGGAUGGGCCCGCGUUGGAUUAGCUAGUUGGUAGGGUAAAAGCCUACCAAGGCGACGAUCCAUAGCUGGUCUGAGAGGAUGAUCAGCCACACUGGGACUGAGACACGGCCCAGACUCCUACGGGAAGCAGCAGUGGGGAAUAUUGGACAAUGGGCGAAAGCCUGAUCCAGCAAUGCCGCGUGAGUGAUGAAGGCCUUAGGGUUGUAAAGCUCUUUUACCCGGGAUGAUAAUGACAGUACCGGGAGAAUAAGCUCCGGCUAACUCCGUG